RNAcentral lists this long non-coding RNA (447 nucleotides) under Ananas comosus (pineapple). RNAcentral's name for it is "long non-coding RNA (ACOM_LNC035604)". Lineage: Eukaryota; Viridiplantae; Streptophyta; Magnoliopsida; Poales; Bromeliaceae. The record is from RNAcentral.
AAUGUCAUAAUCUUACAUUUGGUUUCAUACAUUCAUCUGUUGGCUUAAAUGGGCCAGUAUUCUGUCCUAUGACGGAAGGUCAUGUUGGAUCAAGUCAUGUUCAAAAUGACGUGAAGCUUGGUGGGCUGAAUCCUGCUCGAAGUGGCAUGAGGCUGAUUGGGCCGAGUCACAAUCGAGACCCGUGGACACUGUAUCUGCACGUUUUAAGUGAAUUGAUUGCGUAUUUAUAACAGCUUGAGUUUUUAGGAUUAAUGGUUAGCGCCAACGAUCCGAUAAGUGGUAUCAAAAUCAGAGGUCAUGGGGCCGAAUCACAAUUGAGACUCGUGGGCACUGUAUCUAUAUAUUUUAAGUAAAUUAAUUACGUAUUUUUAGCCGCUCGAAUUUUUAGAAUUAAUUAUUAGCGCCAAUGAUCCGACAUCAUCAAGUCAAAUUUUACCUGUCCUUUUU